This 60-nucleotide transfer RNA is filed under the name Culex quinquefasciatus (southern house mosquito). It matches the Rfam family "tRNA", at positions 7 to 64 of the family's 71-position model. From Rfam's summary of the family: Transfer RNA (tRNA) molecules are approximately 80 nucleotides in length. Their secondary structure includes four short double-helical elements and three loops (D, anti-codon, and T loops). Lineage: Eukaryota; Metazoa; Arthropoda; Insecta; Diptera; Culicidae. The record is from Rfam by way of RNAcentral.
GUGACCGAGUGGUUACGUUGUCCGCUUUGAACGCGGAUGAUCAUGGGUUCGAUUCCCAUC